AUACGGAGGGGGCUAGCGUUGUUCGGAAUUACGGGGCGUAAAGCGCGCGUAGGCGGAUCGUUAAGUCAGGGGUGAAAGCCCGGAGCUCAACUCCGGAACUGCCCUUGAUACUGGCGAUCUCGAGUCCGGGAGAGGUGAGCGGAAUUCCUAGUGUAGAGGUGAAAUUCGUAGAUAUUAGGAGGAACACCAGUGGCGAAGGCGGCUCACUGGCCCGGUACUGACGCUGAGGUGCGAAAGCGUGGGGAGCAAACAGGAUUAGAAACCCCAGUAGUCC
Molecule: ribosomal RNA, 274 nt
Filed under: uncultured bacterium
Lineage: Bacteria
Description: partial 16S ribosomal RNA
Rfam family: Bacterial small subunit ribosomal RNA
Source: RNAcentral